UAAACCCCUUUCAGCAGGGAAGAAGCGAGAGUGACGGUACCUGCAGAAGAAGCGCCGGCUAACUACGUGCCAGCAGCCGCGGUAAUACGUAGGGCGCAAGCGUUGUCCGGAAUUAUUGGGCGUAAAGAGCUCGUAGGCGGUUUGUCGCGUCUGCUGUGAAAACCCGAGGCUCAACCUCGGGCCUGCAGUGGGUACGGGCAGACUAGAGUGCGGUAGGGGAGACUGGAAUUCCUGGUGUAGCGGUGGAAUGCGCAGAUAUCAGGAGGAACACCGAUGGCGAAGGCAGGUCUCUGGGCCGCAACUGACGCUGAGGAGCGAAAGCGUGGGGAGCGAACAGGAUUAGAUACCCUGGUAGUCCACGCCGUAAACGUUGGGCACUAGGUGUGGGACUCAUUCCACGAGUUCCGUGCCGCAGCAAACGCAUUAAGUGCCCCGCCUGGGGAGUACGGCCGCAAGGCUAAAACUCAAAGGAAUUGACGGGGGCCCGCACAAGCGGCGGAGCAUGCGGAUUAAUUCGAUGCAACGCGAAGAACCUUACCAAGGCUUGACAUAUACCGAAAACUCAUGGAGACAUGGGGUCCGCAAGGGCGGUAUACAGGUGGUGCAUGGUUGUCGUCAGC
Molecule: ribosomal RNA, 620 nt
Filed under: uncultured bacterium
Lineage: Bacteria
Description: bacterial SSU rRNA
Rfam family: Bacterial small subunit ribosomal RNA
Source: RNAcentral